UAUCUCUGUAGAGUCUGCAUAUCAAUAAGCGGAGGAAAAGAAACUAACUAGGAUUCCCUCAGUAACGGCGAGUGAAGCGGGAAGAGCUCAAAUUUGAAAUCUUCAAGGUUCUACCUUGACGAAUUGUAGUUUAAAGAAGUGUUUUCUGUUGGAGUUUUGGUAAAAGUUCUUUGGAAUAGGACAUCAUAGAGGGUGAGAAUCCCGUAUUUGACCGUUACUUUCCAGCUGUGUGAUACACUUUCAAAGAGUCGGAUUGUUUGGGAAUGCAGUCCAAAAUGGGUGGUAAAUUUCAUCUAAAGCUAAAUACUGGCGAGAGACCGAUAGCGAACAAGUACCGUGAGGGAAAGAUGAAAAGAACUUUGAAAAGAGAGUUAAACAGUACGUGAAAUUGUCAAAAGGGAAGCGUUUGACACCAGUGUUGUUUUUCUCGAAAAUCAAUUACAAAUGAUUGGAUUUUUGAGGAGUUAUGACUUCAUCGGCUUGCUCCUUUCUUUAUGGAACUUUCUUAAUGCACUUUUCGGUUAACAAGUCAACAUCAAUUUCUUUUGUUGUAAAAGAGUAUGAGGAAGGUGGCUUUCUUUUCGGAGAAAGUGUUUAUAGCCUUGUACUUCUGCAAUCGGAGGGAUUGAGGUCUGCAGCGUAGAUCCUUCGGGGUUUGAUACAUUUGUGCUAAGUUAUAGCUUUUCAUAGACAACUUGUUGAUUAUGUUAAGUCUUGUAGCUUACUCGCUUAUGCUAUUUUACCUACGCUUAGGAUGUUGAGUAGCGACAUACGCAC
RNAcentral lists this ribosomal RNA (777 nucleotides) under uncultured Neocallimastigales. Its description in RNAcentral is "partial large subunit ribosomal RNA". It matches the Rfam family "Eukaryotic large subunit ribosomal RNA", at positions 24 to 649 of the family's 3401-position model. Lineage: Eukaryota; Fungi; Neocallimastigomycota; Neocallimastigomycetes; Neocallimastigales. The record is from RNAcentral.